GGUUGUUUUUUUUCUUUUUC
RNAcentral lists this microRNA (20 nucleotides) under Bos taurus (domestic cattle). RNAcentral's name for it is "bta-miR-2325c". The record is from miRBase by way of RNAcentral. Lineage: Eukaryota; Metazoa; Chordata; Mammalia; Artiodactyla; Bovidae.